AUGAUCGGCUACCUCGACAUCGACAUUAAUGGCUACGUCUACAACAACUCAUCGGCGACAACUCCAGUCAACAGUGUCCGCGUCGUCACUAGCGUCCACGCCACUCCUGCCGUGACUGCGGGAGGGAAGAGAGGAGAGACAAGGAAGGCACCAGAAGGGGACACAGUCACCGCCCUAGGUGUCGACCCAUCAGAGACGCAGUUGAUGAUGGCGCAGUGGAGAAGACGACGAAAGCGCAAGACUACAAAUUCAGUCGCAAUCGUCCGCUUCACUCCCGCUACGACUGAGGGGGGAUAUUAG
RNAcentral lists this ribosomal RNA (300 nucleotides) under Triticum aestivum (bread wheat). RNAcentral describes it as "partial small subunit ribosomal RNA". Lineage: Eukaryota; Viridiplantae; Streptophyta; Magnoliopsida; Poales; Poaceae. The record is from RNAcentral.